GACGAACGCUGGCGGCGUGCUUAACACAUGCAAGUCGAACGGUAAGGCUCCAGCUUGCUGGGGUACACGAGUGGCGAACGGGUGAGUAACACGUGGGUGACCUGCCCUGCACUUCGGGAUAAGCCUGGGAAACUGGGUCUAAUACCGGAUAGGACCGCACCGUGAGGGUGUGGUGGAAAGUUUUUUCGGUGUGGGAUGGGCCCGCGGCCUAUCAGCUUGUUGGUGGGGUAAUGGCCUACCAAGGCGGCGACGGGUAGCCGGCCUGAGAGGGUGGACGGCCACAUUGGGACUGAGACACGGCCCAGACUCCUACGGGAGGCAGCAGUGGGGAAUAUUGCACAAUGGGCGGAAGCCUGAUGCAGCGACGCCGCGUGGGGGAUGACGGCCUUCGGGUUGUAAACUCCUUUCACCAUCGACGAAGGGUUUCUGACGGUAGAUGGAGAAGAAGCACCGGCUAACUACGUGCCAGCAGCCGCGGUAAUACGUAGGGUGCGAGCGUUGUCCGGAAUUACUGGGCGUAAAGAGCUCGUAGGUGGUUUGUCGCGUCGUCUGUGAAAUUCCGGGGCUUAACUCCGGGCGUGCAGGCGAUACGGGCAUAACUUGAGUACUGUAGGGGAGACUGGAAUUCCUGGUGUAGCGGUGAAAUGCGCAGAUAUCAGGAGGAACACCGGUGGCGAAGGCGGGUCUCUGGGCAGUAACUGACGCUGAGGAGCGAAAGCAUGGGGAGCGAACAGGAUUAGAUACCCUGGUAGUCCAUGCCGUAAACGGUGGGCGCUAGGUGUGGGUUUCCUUCCACGGGAUCCGUGCCGUAGCUAACGCAUUAAGCGCCCCGCCUGGGGAGUACGGCCGCAAGGCUAAAACUCAAAGGAAUUGACGGGGGCCCGCACAAGCGGCGGAGCAUGUGGAUUAAUUCGGUGCAACGCGAAGAACCUUACCUGGGCUUGACAUAUACAGGAUCGCGCCAGAGAUGGUGUUUCCCUUGUGGCUUGUAUACAGGUGGUGCAUGGUUGUCGUCAGCUCGUGUCGUGAGAUGUUGGGUUAAGUCCCGCAACGAGCGCAACCCUUGUCUUAUGUUGCCAGCACGUUGUGGUGGGGACUCGUAAGAAACUGCCGGGGUUAACUCGGAGGAAGGUGGGGAUGACGUCAAAUCAUCAUGCCCCUUAUGUCCAGGGCUUCACACAUGCUACAAUGGUCGGUACAGUGGGUUGCCAGUCCGUGAGGGCGAGCUAAUCCCGCAAAGCCGGUCUCAGUUCGGAUCGGGGUCUGCAACUCGACCCCGUGAAGUCGGAGUCGCUAGUAAUCGCAGAUCAGCAACGCUGCGGUGAAUACGUUCCCGGGCCU
Molecule: ribosomal RNA, 1341 nt
Filed under: uncultured bacterium
Lineage: Bacteria
Description: partial 16S ribosomal RNA
Rfam family: Bacterial small subunit ribosomal RNA
Source: RNAcentral